Molecule: ribosomal RNA, 253 nt
Filed under: uncultured bacterium
Lineage: Bacteria
Description: partial 16S ribosomal RNA
Rfam family: Bacterial small subunit ribosomal RNA
Source: RNAcentral
AACGUAGGACGCAAGCGUUAUCCGGAGUUACUGGGCGUAAAGGGCUCGUAGGCGGCCAACUAAGUCAUACGUGAAAUCCCUCAGCUUAACUGGGGAACUGCGUGUGAUACUGGAUGGCUUGGAUUUGGGAGAGGGAUGCGGAAUUCCAGGUGUAGCGGUGAAAUGCGUAGAUAUCUGGAGGAACACCGGUGGCGAAGGCGGCAUCCUGGACCAAUAUUGACGCUGAGGAGCGAAAGCCAGGGGAGCAAACGGG